CAGUAACGAAAUUCUGCACACAUUUAGCCACAAUGACAGCAGAGGAAGUAGAAGAUGCAGCAAUGGCACGUGCCCCAUAGGUCCCCAGACGAUUUAUAGAUGAAGGUUCGUCCAUUUUAUAUGUAACUGCAGAACAUUUAAUACUAGGGACAUGGGCAAUAAGCUUUUGACACUCAGUUUCAAAUUCGGAUGAUGAGAAAAUAGUAUCCCUCACAUAAGCCUUCUUGUCAAGUUUCUCAUUUGCUUUGAUUAUCCACGAAAGUUUCGUACAUUUCUCCCUCGCGCUUGUCGUGCCAGAGGAGGAUCUCGUCUAGUUCCAGGCAACAGAGUUGUCUUUUUUUUCCUUUUCUUUGUACAGUUCCAACAGGAGCAUGAGAGAAGCAGAAAGAGAGGAAGACGGAGAAGAGUCGAUGGGUAAAGAUGGACUAGUGGCGCAUGACGGCGGAGAAGCGAUUGGAGAAGCAUAUAUAGGGGCGGUUGUCAGAGUUAUGGUGUUGGAGAAGAAGAUGGCGAUGAGGGCGAUGUCGUGGCUUCAAUUGACGUUGCAGAGAUAGUGAACAUGAACAGGAUGAUGAUGACACCAAAGCCAUGAGGUGUAAUUUUUAAAAUAAUUUCCAUUUCCCAUUUUAACAAAAGUAAUUAAAAUGAUUGAGUUAUGUAAUGUUGGUAUUUUAAUUGUAAACUUUUUAUUUUAACUUACUUAAAAUAAAAAAUUUGAUAAUUGAGUGA
Long non-coding RNA from Gossypium arboreum, 729 nucleotides. RefSeq lists it as uncharacterized. NCBI's taxonomy places the organism in Eukaryota, Viridiplantae, Streptophyta, Magnoliopsida, Malvales, Malvaceae. The record is from RefSeq and is a predicted model, not a curated record. The transcript is spliced from 2 exons.